Molecule: transfer RNA, 74 nt
Filed under: Anaerohalosphaera lusitana
Lineage: Bacteria; Pseudomonadati; Planctomycetota; Phycisphaerae; Sedimentisphaerales; Anaerohalosphaeraceae
Description: Phycisphaerae bacterium ST-NAGAB-D1 tRNA
Rfam family: tRNA
About the family: Transfer RNA (tRNA) molecules are approximately 80 nucleotides in length. Their secondary structure includes four short double-helical elements and three loops (D, anti-codon, and T loops). Further hydrogen bonds mediate the characteristic L-shaped molecular structure. tRNAs have two regions of fundamental functional importance: the anti-codon, which is responsible for specific mRNA codon recognition, and the 3' end, to which the tRNAs corresponding amino acid is attached (by aminoacyl-tRNA synthetases). tRNAs cope with the degeneracy of the genetic code in two manners: having more than one tRNA (with a specific anti-codon) for a particular amino acid; and 'wobble' base-pairing, i.e. permitting non-standard base-pairing at the 3rd anti-codon position.
Source: Rfam by way of RNAcentral
GCGUCUGUAGCUCAACUGGAUAGAGCAUCGGUCUACGAAACCGAAGGUUUCAGGUUCGAAUCCUGACAGACGCG